This 475-nucleotide ribosomal RNA is filed under the name Candida albicans. RNAcentral describes it as "eukaryotic LSU rRNA". The stretch from base 105 to 258 matches the Rfam family "5.8S ribosomal RNA". The record is from RNAcentral. Lineage: Eukaryota; Fungi; Ascomycota; Pichiomycetes; Serinales; Debaryomycetaceae.
GAAACAAACUUGCUUUGGCGGUGGGCCCAGCCUGCCGCCAGAGGUCUAAACUUACAACCAAUUUUUUAUUAACUUGUCACACCAGAUUAUUACUAAAUAGUCAAAACUUUCAACAACGGAUCUCUUGGUUCUCGCAUCGAUGAAGAACGCAGCGAAAUGCGAUACGUAAUAUGAAUUGCAGAUAUUCGUGAAUCAUCGAAUCUUUGAACGCACAUUGCGCCCUCUGGUAUUCCGGAGGGCAUGCCUGUUUGAGCGUCGUUUCUCCCUCAAACCGCUGGGUUUGGUGUUGAGCAAUACGACUUGGGUUUGCUUGAAAGACGGUAGUGGUAAGGCGGGAUCGCUUUGACAAUGGCUUAGGUCUAACCAAAAACAUUGCUUGCGGCGGUAACGUCCACCACGUAUAUCUUCAAACUUUGACCUCAAAUCAGGUAGGACUACCCGCUGAACUUAAGCAUAUCAAUAAGCGGAGGAAAAG